RNAcentral lists this ribosomal RNA (484 nucleotides) under uncultured bacterium. Its description in RNAcentral is "partial 16S ribosomal RNA". It matches the Rfam family "Bacterial small subunit ribosomal RNA", at positions 29 to 507 of the family's 1533-position model. The record is from RNAcentral.
AUUGAACGCUGGCGGAAUGCUUUACACAUGCCAGUCGAGCGGCAGCGCGGCCUUCGGGCUGGCGGCGAGCGGCGAACGGGUGAGUAAUGCAUCGGAACAUGCCCAGUCGUGGGGGAUAACACUUCGAAAGAAGUGCUAAUACCGCAUACGUCCUGAGGGGGAAAGCGGGGGAUCGCAAGACCUCGCGCGAUUGGAGUGGCCGAUGUCAGAUUAGCUAGUUGGUGGGGUAAAGGCCUACCAAGGCGACGAUCUGUAGCUGGUCUGAGAGGAUGAUCAGCCACACUGGGACUGAGACACGGCCCAGACUCCUACGGGAGGCAGCAGUGGGGAAUUUUGGACAAUGGGGGCAACCCUGAUCCAGCCAUUCCGCGUGAGUGAAGAAGGCCUUCGGGUUGUAAAGCUCUUUCGGCAGGAACGAAACGGUGGGCUCUAACAUAGUCCGCUAAUGACGGUACCCGAAGAAGAAGCACCGGCUAACUACGUG